Molecule: ribosomal RNA, 933 nt
Filed under: Inocybe errata
Lineage: Eukaryota; Fungi; Basidiomycota; Agaricomycetes; Agaricales; Inocybaceae
Description: eukaryotic LSU rRNA
Rfam family: Eukaryotic large subunit ribosomal RNA
Source: RNAcentral
UGAACUUAAGCAUAUCAAUAAGCGGAGGAAAAGAAACUAACAAGGAUUCCCCUAGUAACUGCGAGUGAAGCGGGAAAAGCUCAAAUUUAAAAUCUGACAGUUAUUUUUUUUGCUGUCCGAGUUGUAAUCUGGAGAAGUGUUACCCGUGCUGGACCAUGUACAAGUCUCCUGGAAUGGAGCAUCAUAGAGGGUGAGAAUCCUGUCUUUGACAUGGACUACCAGUGCUUUUGUGGUGCACUCUCAAAGAGUCGAGUUGUUUGGGAAUGCAGCUCAAAAUGGGUGGUAAAUGCCAUCUAAAGCUAAAUAUUGGCGAGAGACCGAUAGCGAACAAGUACCGUGAGGGAAAGAUGAAAAGAACUUUGGAAAGAGAGUUAAACAGUACGUGAAAUUGCUGAAAGGGAAACGCUUGAAGUCAGUCACAUUGGUUGAGAAUCAGCCUUGCUUUUGCUUGGUGUAUUUUUCAGCUGAUGGGUCAGCAUCAAUUUUGUUUGCUGGAUAAAGGCUUGGGGAAUGUGGCAUCUCCGGAUGUGUUAUAGCCCUUUGUUGUAUACAGCAGAUGGGAUUGAGGAACUCAGCAUGCCAUAAGGCCAGGUUUUUUUUGACCAUGUUCAUGCUUAGGAUGCUGGCAUAAUGGCUUUAAUCGACCCGUCUUGAAACACGGACCAAGGAGUCUAACAUGCAUGCGAGUAUUUGGGUGGAAAACCCAUGUGCGCAAUGAAAGUGAAAGUUGAGAUCCCUGUCGUGGGGAGCAUUGACACCCAGACCAGACCUUUUGUGACGGAUCUGUGGUAGAGCAUGUAUGUUGGGACCCGAAAGAUGGUGAACUAUGCCUGAAUAGGGUGAAGCCAGAGGAAACUCUGGUGGAGGCUCGUAGCGAUUCUGACGUGCAAAUCGAUCGUCAAAUUUGGGUAUAGGGGCGAAAGACUAAUCGAA